CGCGAAUCGCCCUUCGGGGUGCACAGGCGCGAAAACUUUACAAUGCCGGCAACGGCGAUAAGGGAACCUCGAGUGCCAGGUUACAAAUCUGGCUGUCGUGAUGCCUAAAAAGCAUUGCAUAGCAAGGGCCGGGCAAGACCGGUGCCAGCCGCCGCGGUAACACCGGCGGCUCGAGUGGUAACCGUUAUUAUUGGGUCUAAAGGGUCUGUAGCCGGCCGGGUAAGUCUCUUGGGAAAUCUGGCAGCUUAACUGUCAGGCUUUCAGGAGAUACUGCCUGGCUCGAGGCCGGGAGAGGUGAGAGGUACUUCAGGGGUAGGGGUGAAAUCUUGUAAUCCUUGAAGGACCACCAGUGGCGAAGGCGUCUCACCAGAACGGACCUGACGGCAAGGGACGAAAGCUAGGGGCACGAACCGGAUUAGAUACCCGGGUAGUCCUAGCCGUAAACGAUACUCGCUAGGUGUCGGCCACGGUGCGACCGUGGUCGGUGCCGUAGGGAAGCCGUGAAGCGAGCCACCUGGGAAGUACGGCCGCAAGGCUGAAACUUAAAGGAAUUGGCGGGGGAGCAC
This 566-nucleotide ribosomal RNA is filed under the name uncultured archaeon. RNAcentral describes it as "bacterial SSU rRNA". It matches the Rfam family "Archaeal small subunit ribosomal RNA", at positions 312 to 879 of the family's 1478-position model. The record is from RNAcentral.